UACGGAGGGUGCAAGCGUUGUUCGGAAUCACUGGGCGUAAAGCGCGUGUAGGCGGUUGGGUAAGUCAGAUGUGAAAGCCCCGGGCUCAACUCGGGAAUUGCAUCUGAAACUGCCCUGCUAGAGUCCCGGAGAGGAAGGCGGAACUCCCAGUGUAGGGGUGAAAUCCGUAGAUACUGGGAAGAACACCGGCGGCGAAGGCGGCCUUCUGGACGGUGACUGACGCUGAGACGCGAAAGCGUGGGGAGCAAACAGG
This 253-nucleotide ribosomal RNA is filed under the name uncultured bacterium. Its description in RNAcentral is "partial 16S ribosomal RNA". It matches the Rfam family "Bacterial small subunit ribosomal RNA", at positions 524 to 776 of the family's 1533-position model. The record is from RNAcentral.